RNAcentral lists this ribosomal RNA (430 nucleotides) under bacterium. RNAcentral describes it as "partial 16S ribosomal RNA". It matches the Rfam family "Bacterial small subunit ribosomal RNA", at positions 355 to 776 of the family's 1533-position model. The record is from RNAcentral.
UGGGGAAUAUUGGACAAUGGGCGCAAGCCUGAUCCAGCCAUGCCGCGUGUGUGAAGAAGGCCUUUUGGUUGUAAAGCACUUUAAGCGAGGAGGAGGCUACUUGGAUUAAUACUCUAGGAUAGUGGACGUUACUCGCAGAAUAAGCACCGGCUAACUCUGUGCCAGCAGCCGAGGUAAUACAGAGGGUGCGAGCGUUAAUCGGAUUUACUGGGCGUAAAGCGUGCGUAGGCGGCUUCUUAAGUCGGAUGUGAAAUCCCUGAGCUUAACUUAGGAAUUGCAUUCGAUACUGGGAAGCUAGAGUAUGGGAGAGGAUGGUAGAAUUCCAGGUGUAGCGGUGAAAUGCGUAGAGCUCUGGAGGAAUACCGAUGGCGAAGGCAGCCAUCUGGCCUAAUACUGACGCUGAGGUACGAAAGCAUGGGGAGCAAACAGG